CUAUAUCGUAAACUCCUGUGAGAGCAGACGAAAGACAGAUUAUUAAUUUGGAUGACUGUAUGCUCAGAGGAAGCCCCGGCUAACUACGUGCCAGCAGCCGCGGUAAUACGUAGGGGGCAAGCGUUGUCCGGAUUCACUGGGUGUAAAGGGCGCGUAGGCGGUAUAGCAAGUCAGUGGUGAAAUCUUGCAGCUCAACUGCAAAACUGCCAUUGAUACUGCUGUACUUGAGUGUGGAAGAGAGAGGCGGAAUUCCAGGUGUAGUGGUGAAAUACGUAGAUAUCUGGAAGAACACCAAUUGCGAAGGCUGCUUCUUGGUCCAUAACUGACGCUGAGGCGCGAAAGCGUGGGGAGCAAACAGGAUUAGAUACCCUGGUAGUCCACGCUGUAAACGAUGAGUGCUAGAUGCCGGAUUUUUCGGUGUCGCAGCUAACGCAUUAAGCACUCCACCUGGGAAGUACGAUCGCAAGGUUGAAACUCAAAGGAAUUGACCGGGGC
RNAcentral lists this ribosomal RNA (495 nucleotides) under uncultured bacterium. RNAcentral's name for it is "bacterial SSU rRNA". It matches the Rfam family "Bacterial small subunit ribosomal RNA", at positions 418 to 920 of the family's 1533-position model. The record is from RNAcentral.